UAAUAGGAGCUGUAGUUCAGUUCCCUGAUUUCUUGUUUUUUGUGUGUUUUUAAAUCUCAGAAGAGUCUAACAUUGCAGAGGAAGUUCUUCGGAACACAGGAGCAGGUUCUCCUCAGGAAGUGAGCAUUUGAUGACAGAGUGGUCCUGUUCUCCAGUCCAAUUUUGAACACCAUAAUGGACAACAUAUCAGAACUGUCUGAUUAUGAGUUGGAUCCUUCAGUGGUUCAGUCUGGUUCCUCUUCCUCUAACAAAGGAACAGACAGCAUCAUGCCUGUCUGACAACUUGGCUGGUCCUUCGGAUCCUGAGGCACUUGGUCUUCAUCGGGCCUGGCAAGCUCCAACAGUCCAAAAGAACUGACUGAGAGAAUUCUCAGAGAGCUCUCUGCAUCCUCUAGUUGUUCAAAGCUAGAGGAAGUUCUAAAUGGGACGUUUGUUGAGCUUCUUCAAUGGUUUGGGGAAGAAGGUUCUCUGCAUAAGGCCUUGAACCCUCGAGACUCCACAUUUGAUGAGGCCCUGAUGACUGCCCUACGGAAGCAUCUAGAUGCAGAUGCUUCAACUCCAGUGCCUGAAACUGAGGAGGUGAAGAGCGCACACUCUCUAAGAAGCGCAAGGGCCUCUUCUCCUAUCUUAAGAUGCCAACACUCUUCAAAAAGAUAUCCAGAAAGAACAAGGUUGGACAUGCAGAUCAGGACCCUUUGCAGAGUGGUCGCACUGCUGCUAUGGGUGGAUCCAGCAAUGCGGAGGAGAAGGAGAUGCCUAGGAGACGAUGCAUUUUCAGCAGGAUGUUCUCCUGCUUCAGGAAAUCAUGCGUCUUCUGCUAUGGCAUCUGGGCAUCUGUCCUGUCAGAGGUCGUUAAUGACUGUGUGCACCAUUACCUUUAG
Molecule: long non-coding RNA, 881 nt
Organism: Pygocentrus nattereri (red-bellied piranha)
Lineage: Eukaryota; Metazoa; Chordata; Actinopteri; Characiformes; Serrasalmidae
Source: Ensembl